UACGGAAGGCAGCAGUGGGGAAUAUUGCACAAUGGGCGAAAGCCUGGUGCAGCUAUGCCGCGUGUAUGAAGAAGGCCUUAGGGUUGUAAAGUACUUUCAUCGGGGAGGAAAAAACAAAACUAAUAAUUUUAUUCUUGACGUUACCCGAAAAAGAAGCACCGGCUAACUCCGUGCCAGCAGCCGCGGUAAUACGGAGGGUGCUAGCGUUAAUCAGAAUUACUGGGCGUAAAGGGCACGCAGGCGGUUAAUUAAGUUGGAUGUGAAAUCCCCGGGCUUAACCUGGGAAUGGCAUUCAAGACUGGUUAGCUAGAGUCUUGUAGAGGGGGUAGAAUUCCAUGUGUAGCGGUGAAAUGCGUAGAGAUGUGGAGGAAUACCGGUGGCGAAGGCGGCCCCUGGACAAAGACUGACGCUCAUGUGCGAAAGCGUGGGGAGCAAACAGGGAUUAGAUACC
RNAcentral lists this ribosomal RNA (451 nucleotides) under uncultured bacterium. Its description in RNAcentral is "bacterial SSU rRNA". It matches the Rfam family "Bacterial small subunit ribosomal RNA", at positions 340 to 786 of the family's 1533-position model. The record is from RNAcentral.